RNAcentral lists this ribosomal RNA (769 nucleotides) under uncultured bacterium. RNAcentral describes it as "bacterial SSU rRNA". It matches the Rfam family "Bacterial small subunit ribosomal RNA", at positions 1 to 771 of the family's 1533-position model. The record is from RNAcentral.
CCAAACCCAAUCCCCUUGAGUUGAUCAUGGCUCAAAUCACGCUGGCGGCGUGCCUAACACAUGCAAGUCGAGCGAGAAAGGGGCUUCGGCCCUGAGUAAAGCGGCGCACGGGUGAGUAACACGUGGGUAAUCUGCCCUAGAGUGGGGAAUAACAUCGGGAAACCGAUGCUAAUACCGCAUACGCUCAUGAGAUCUUCGGAUUUUGUGACGAAAGGAGCAAUCCGCUCUUGGAGGAGCCCGCGGCUGAUUAGCUAGUUGGUAAGGUAAUGGCUUACCAAGGCUACGAUCAGUAUCCGGUCUGAGAGGACGGUCGGACACACUGGAACUGAGACACGGUCCAGACUCCUACGGGAGGCAGCAGUGGGGAAUUUUUGGCAAUGGGGGAAACCCUGACCAAGCAACGCCGCGUGGAUGAUGAAGUAUCUUGGUACGUAAAAUCCUUUCGACGGGGAAGAAAACCGCAAGGUUUGACGGUACCCGUAGAAGAAGCCCCGGCUAACUCCGUGCCAGCAGCCGCGGUAAUACGGGGGGGCAAGCGUUGUUCGGAAUUACUGGGCGUAAAGGGCGCGUAGGCGGUUUGUUAAGUUGGAUGUGAAAACUGUGGGCUCAACCUACAGCCUGCAUCCAAUACUGACAGGCUAGAGUUCUGGAGGGGAUAGCGGAAUUCCUGGUGUAGCGGUGAAAUGCGUAGAUAUCAGGAGGAACACCGGUGGCGAAGGCGGCUAUCUGGACAGAGUCUGACGCUGAUGCGCGAAAGCUAGGGGAGCAA